UGUUUUGACAACAUUUAGAAUUCUGUUACAGAAGAACAACCUCAAGUGCUCUGAGGUAUAUUUUGUAUAACUUAAAACUGAAGUUAAUUAUGCAGAGAGUACUAGCUUUGAUCUCUUAACCUCACAGAGGUUCCAGUAUGAAAGGUCAAAUUUGCAUACUGAAUAUUUGCUGAAUAAAGCUGUUCUUUGAAUGGAUAAAAUAAAAAUAUUAAAUGAACACGGGAAAUUUUUACUUUUCCUUAUUAAGUGACAAGCAAAAGAAGCAUCUAUGAGAGGAAAUUCUUUUUCAUAUCAACCACAAGUUCUGUUUGCAGACUUGAAUAUAUUUUUCUGACUCUGGAGUUUUUAAGGGGUUCUUCUGAAGUGCUUUAUGAUAUUGAACAGAAAUAUUUGCAUGUGCUUUGCUAUUAUUGUUGUGGUUAUCUAGAAUGCUUGACAGGAGUUUUAUGUGUGAACAGCAGAUCAAGCAAUUAUAGAAUGUAAUUCUAAAAAGUGUUUGCUCAAGGUAUGCACCCCCUUGAAAUGUUUUAUGGAGUAGAUCCCCAUCCUGUCCGUGGUAAGAAAUAUGAAGAUGUCCUUUUUCUAGGCUUGCAACAAGGUCUCCUGGCACUCCAUCACAUCAUCUUCAAGCAAACUAU
RNAcentral lists this long non-coding RNA (638 nucleotides) under Apteryx rowi (Okarito brown kiwi). Its description in RNAcentral is "lncRNA (ENSARWG00000005798.1)". Lineage: Eukaryota; Metazoa; Chordata; Aves; Apterygiformes; Apterygidae. The record is from RNAcentral.